GCCGGGGUAGCUCAACGGUAGAGCAAUCGCUUCGUAAGCGAUAGGUUGUGGGUUCGAAUCCCAUCCCCGGCU
This 72-nucleotide transfer RNA is filed under the name Elusimicrobia bacterium GWA2_66_18. Its description in RNAcentral is "tRNA-Thr". It matches the Rfam family "tRNA". Rfam says of the family: Transfer RNA (tRNA) molecules are approximately 80 nucleotides in length. Their secondary structure includes four short double-helical elements and three loops (D, anti-codon, and T loops). The record is from RNAcentral. RNAcentral also lists the same sequence under 3 other names. Lineage: Bacteria; Pseudomonadati; Elusimicrobiota.